AUGCUGUGAGGACAGUCAAGAAACCCUAUGGUGAGGAACUGAGAUUUCCAUCCAACAUCGAGCAUCAACUUGGUUAAUAUUUGAGUAAACCACCUUGGAAGUAGAUCCUUUAACUUAUGUCAAGUCUUUAGAUGCCUGCAGACAUGACCAGUAUUUUAAAUGCAACUCAUGAAAGACCCCAACAUCCAACAGAGCAACUUCCAAAUUCCUGACCCAUAGCAACUGUGUGAGAUGAUAAAUAUUUAUUGUUGUUUUAAGCUUCUAAAUUUGAGUUCAGUGACUGUCCUUGAUAGAAGUACUUGGGGAACUUUGAAGAAGCCCAGUUUCAGGAGCAAAGGGUUGCUUAGUAGUUGCAGGAAGAAUUGGCAUCUGUUCCUUACAUCAUCUUGGAGCUUUCACUGUUGGCACCUAUAACACCUGCUAUGUC
Zalophus californianus (California sea lion) is the source of this 427-nucleotide long non-coding RNA. RefSeq lists it as uncharacterized. The transcript has 3 exons. The record is from RefSeq and is a predicted model, not a curated record. NCBI's taxonomy places the organism in Eukaryota, Metazoa, Chordata, Mammalia, Carnivora, Otariidae.